ACGCCAUCUUGCCACUAAACCUGAUUUACCAACAUAACCUGUUUCUGGCCAUGCUGUGAAUCUGCAUUCUUUACUGUGUCCUUGGGAUACUAGGUCUCUGAUCAAGUGCCACAUCUUUAGAGAAGCUUUUCCAAACAACCGAUUAUGAAGUACACAUUAACAAUGAAGCCUCUUUUCAAGUAAAGAAGUGAGUAGCCUUCAAGCUCCAGAUAAUCCUCAGUGAGGUAUACUGUCCGCUCAAUAUCCAAGAGUCACCCUUCUACAAGGGACCUCUAGACUGCCCAUAAGUGAGACAUGACAGAGGUAAAGUCAUGCUCCUGUCUCCCUUGGACCUGGCUGGAAACUGCAUUCAUCAACCCAUGGAACCACCCCCCUGCCAUGAAAGCUAGCAAGAGGCCAAGACCCACAGAACAACCACCAUCAUCCCUCUGUCAGCAGGAAGCGGUUACAAAAGACUAACCUUUGCCCAUUUUCCCCAAAGAAUUGGGGUCUUGGAAUCUUGAGGGAGGAAAUGUUACAGUAGGUAGCUAGUCAGACAUGAGCAGAGCAGAAGAGGGCUUACACACACACACACACACACACACACACACACCCCACACACAAAGAAUCCUGGGCAACCAUCAGGCGAUUGUAAGGUGGUUGUUAACUGUGUCUCUAAAAUAACGAUUGGUCACAACCAGUGCAAUGGAAAGGCAGUCUCUCAAUAAACAGAAACACCUGGAGCUGAUGAUCAGCAGCUUCCUGAUCAGGUCUCAGAAGUUUGGCAAGCUGGCCUACACAUGCGCACUAAGAGGCAAAAUGGCACAGUUUAACUGGUAUAUGACUUCCAAUGGACAUUCAGCAUGUAAGGGAAAAAUGCCUCAAGUAAGCAUGCAUACAACUCCACUAAACACACUGUGCAUGCUCCCCUCUCAAGUGCUGGCAGGCCAGUGCACAUGGGGACAGCCCACCCCAAAGAAAGUCUCAAGGGUGUAGGGAUGCAAGACCCCGGGAAUAUGCCAAUGUAUUAAACCCUAAGUCAAAAGGUCAAAUCAUGCACUUGUCUUUCAAGUCACCCACUUGACCCUCUUCCAAGUGUACUUUCCUUCCUUUUGUUACUACUCUAAAGCUUUUUAAUAAAUUUUCACUUUUUGAAUUCUUGUCUGCAACUUAGACUAACCUUGCUUGUUUCUCUGAACCAACCAGUGAUCUCUGGCUCGACUCAGAAGCAACAAAUAGAUGGGUAAUGUAAAAAUAUGGAUUAAUAUUCUAAUUCUGGGGGUACAAAUCUAAAAUUUGCUUCAGUCUCUCCUUCUACCUAUGCCCCUCAGUUAAAUUCUUUCUUCUGAGGAGGCUAGAAUUGAGGUUGCUGCAGACCUGUACCGAUUCACCACCAGUAGCAGGUACUAGAAAGAUUAAGGAGAGGAACAUUCUGGUUAUGAAGGUCCAAUUCUCUUACCAUAUGUUCCAAGUUGUUUUUUUGUUUUGUUUUGUUUUAAUUCUCUGUAGUCCUGGGAACUGCCUCACUCUCAUAUUUGAGUUCUGGGAUAUUGUUGGUGAUAGUCUCUGCAGUGUAUAUUGGUUUUUAUAUUUUGUGGAGGGGGAGUGAAGCCAGUUUGCUUCUAUGCUGCCAUUUUGAAACCCUGCCACAAGUCAUUUAUUCCUGUUGUUGGAAAAUAUUCCAUUGAUUAGGUGUAAUACCAUUUGUUUAUCCAUUCACCUAUUGGGAAAGAUCUUAUUUGCUUCAAGUUUUGGCAAUUGUAAAUAAAACUGCUAUAAAUCUGUGCAGGUUUUUGUGCAGAUAGAAGUUUUCAUCUCAUUUGUGUAAAUGCCAUAGAGUGCAGUUGCUGGAUUGUAUGGUUAGUAAAUUAGUCUAUUUUUAUGCUGCUGAUAAAGACAUACAAGAGACUGGCUAACUUAUAAAGAAGCAGAGGUUUAAUGGACUCACAGUUCCGUGUGGCUGGGGAGGCCUCACAACCAUGGUGGAAAGGGAAAGACAUGUCUUAUAUGGCUGCGGGCAAAAGAGAAUGAGAGCCAAUGAAAGGGGUUUCCCCCUAUAAAACCAUCAGAUCUCAUAAGACUUAUUCACUACCUCGAGAACAGUAUGGGGGAAACUACCCCCAUCAUUCAAUUAUCUCCCACUGGGCCCCUCCACAACAUGUGGAAAUUAUGAGAGCUACAAUUCAAGAUGAGAUUUGGUGGGGACACAGCCAAUCAUAUUAGUAAGAAUAUGCUUACUUCUGUAAAAAGCUGCCAAACUCUCUUCUAAAUUGGCUGUAACUGUUUGCAUUUUCAUUAGUAAUGAAUGAGAGUUUCUGUUGUUCCACAUCCUCUCCAGCAUUUGGUGUAAGCAUUUAGAAUUUUAGACAUUCUACUAGGUGUAUCAUGGUAUCUCCUCGUUGUUUUAAUUUAUAAUUUCCUGAUGACAAAUGAUGUUGAGCAUAUUUUAUAUCAUAUAUAUGUACACACACACACAUUCUUUGGUCAGAUGUCUGUUCAGGUUUUCAGCCCAUAUUUUAAUUGGGUUGUUGCUUUGUUCAGUUUAAAGAGUUAUUCAUACAUUUUAGAGCUCAGUCCUUUAUCAGAUAUGUAUUUUGCAAAGAUUUUCUUCCAAUCUGUGGCUUGUAUUUUCAUUCUCCCAACAGUGUCUUUCACAGAGCAGAAGUUUUUAUUUUUAAUAAAGUACACCUAAUCAAUAUUUUCUUUCAUGUAUUGUGCUUCUGGUGUUGCAUCUAGAAAGUCAUCACCAAACCUAAGGUCACCUAGACUUUCUCCCAUAGUAUCUUCUAUUAGUUUUAUAGUUUUUAGCUUUAAAUUUAGGUUUAUGAUUCAUUUUAAAUUAAUUAUUUUUGAAAUGUUUAAGAUCUGUGUAUAGAAUCUUUUUUGCAUAUGAAUAUCCAGUUGUUCCAGCACCAUUUGUUGAGGAUUGCUUUUUCUUCCUGGAAUUAUCAUUGCUCCUUUGUCACAGAGCAGUUGACUGUGUGGAUCUACACACAAAUUUAAGCCAACAGCUGUUGCAGUUCUAUGUUUAUAAUAAUGUUUAAAUUUUGAAUCCAACUAUUAAUAUGAAUUUUAAGCCACUUCUCUGUCUCUUUUGAUUUGAAUGUGGAGGGUGUCAUUUACUUCAGAAGGUAUGUAAAAGAGAUGUGCAACUUAGAAAAAUCAAAAUAAAUUUUAGCAUAAAUAUUCAACACAGAAUGGAAACAGAAUUUUACUCAUGUAGCUAAAUAUGGAGCCCCUAUCUGACUAUAUUAGAAUAUAUAAUUGUUAACAUUAUUUGCCAAGUCAAAAAUAAAGACAUUUGGGAAAUUUUUCCUUUAAGUGCAUUAUUUGUAUUAAAAUAAAGUGAUUGAUAUGCAUGGUGUGAAAUUUAUGUUAAUUAGUAUGAGGCUAAUGAUUGAAAUUUUAAUACUAUUAAAUGUUUUUUCAGAAUAUAAACAUUUAACAAAUCAAUAAAGCAUAAUUAUUGCAGUAAGAGAGUUCACUUCUAGAUCUGACCAUUAUCACCUUUAUAACCCCAUCUUUUGAGUAUAAACAAGAGCUAAUAAAAAUGAAAAUAGAAUGAUAAGAGAGGGAACAAUUUGACUGAGAUCUUCUGACUUUAUACUAGAUCAUACUGAAUGGGAGAUAAGCAAUUUUUCUUAAGUUCUUUUAUAAUCAUUUUUAAAAAUAUUUUAUUUUCAAUAAGAUCUUGUUCUCAUGAACUUAUAAUUCAUAGUUUCAUUAUUAUGAUUGCAAAAUGUUGCAACCAAAACUUGAUGAGACAUUUUGGAAGCCACCCUCAUCCCCUUUUUCUGGUUAGAGCAUAACAAGAGACGGUAGGUUGACAUUUAUUAGAAACUAUGUGCAUAGUUCCAUUCUUUCCACCUUUUCUCCUUUCUUUGUAAUUCUUAAAGCUUACCUGUGAAAUUUUAUUGUUAGUGAACUUAGAAAUGCCAUCAUGUCUUUCUGGUUUAAUGUCAAAAAAUACACUGAAUGCUAGAGCAAAGCUUGUCAGACUAUUUGCCACCCACAAGGAAGGGGAGUAAAACUUUUCAUCAAGGGUUUCAGGGUAACUUCACUUGUUCAUUGUAGUUUACCCCAUCCCCUUUCUGUAGUUGGCUCUGUCACGUGUCUCUGUUUCAUGUCAUAGUAUACAUUUAUUCUCUGUAAUUUACAGAGCCAAAAUAUAUUAGUAUUAUUGGGAAGAAAACCAGGCUUCACUACAGAUGAGGUGAGGCAUUAGGUAAAUGUUCUGUGCCUAUUUCCUUAUAUUCUAUGCCUAUUUCCUUAUGUUCUAAUAACUGUGUAAUAAUAAUGGACUGGCCCAUGAGAAAAUAGCUAACGUGUUUCUACUGCAUGCAACUCUGCACUCCUGACCUCAGGGAAAUGUGAGAAACUCAUUUCAAGGGGUUAAGAUUGCAGGAAAGGUGAAAGCAAAAACACAAAUGGAGUAAACUCAGGCUCCAGUUUCACAUACAUUGAGAUCUGCUGGAUAAUUGGAUUUAAACCAUUUUGUCGAAGAAUGCUAAUUUAUAUAUAUAUAUAAUAUAAUAUAUAUUUAUAUAUGUGAAUAUGGAUAUAUAAGGAUUUCAUAAUUUUCAUAAUUUUAGAAGAUCCUCUGUUCAUUUUUCUCUGAGUAGUAACAUGGAGGAAAGUGCUUGACAUUAAUAUGAAAAGGUCUUAACCCUAUAAUGAAAAAAUAUUUUUGUGUAUAGAAGGCCACUUAAGGUUGCUGCCUCUAGAGUGAAAAUACUGUAGAUAAACUUUGCCUAUUGGAAUUUAUCCUUGGAGAUUUUCAAUAUGGAUAUUUCCCAUCCCUGUGUGCAACAUCCUCUUUAUGGGAGAAUAGCUUUGUACUUUCUGCAGUUUGUUAGCUUCAGCAGUGGUCAUGAUGUAACUAGACACCUGUGCAAUUACAUUGCUUUUCCAAACUUUUUUAAACCUAUUCAUAUAGCAUAGGUGAGAAGAAAAAUACUAUUAAAGAUAGUUUAACAUGUUCUCAUGUACCUCAUCUAUAUUAUACAUUAGCUUUUGUUUUUGAACUGGAAGGCACGUUAGAAAUUGUUAAUGCCCUAGUUACAUUGAAUUACCAUAGUAAGCAUUGACUGUUGUUUUGGAUUCUAGAAACUAGGACCAGUUUUAGUGCUUUACUCUUUGAGGUUAGUCACUCAUUUAAUCUAACCAGUAGUCACUCUCAACCAAAGCUGUGGUUUCUCCAGAGUGGAACUGUGACUUAACAGUCAGCUCUCAGUUUGCCCAGUAAUAUACAUCACCAAAGCCAAAUAAGCCAUGUUGUUAUUUUUUUAACUUUUAUUUUAGGUUCAGGAGUACAUGUGUAGGUUUGUUAUAUGGGUAAAUGGCAUGCCAUGGAAGUAUGGUGUACAAAUUAUUUCAUCACUAAGGUAAUAAGCAUAGCACCCACAGAUAAAUAGUUUUUUGAUCCUCACCCUCCUCCCGCUCUCCACACUCAAGUAGGCUCUGGGGUCUGUUGUUCCCUUCUUCAUGUUCAUGUGUACUCAAAGUUUAGCUCCCACUUAUAGGUGAGAACAAGUGGCAUUUGGUUUUUUCUUCCUGCAUUAGUUCACUUAGGAUAAUGGCCUCUAGCUCCAUUCAUGGUCCUGCAAAGGACAUGAUCUUGUUGUUGUUGUUGUUGUUUUAAUGGCUACAUAGUAUUUCAUGGUGUAUAUAUACUAUAUUUUCUUAUCCAAUCUACUAUUAAUGUUCAUUUAAAUUGAUUCCAUGUCAUUGCUAUUGUUAAUACUGCUGCAAUGAACAUACAUGUGCAUAUGUUUUUAUGGUAGAAAAACUUAUAUUCCUUUAAGUAUGUACCCAAUCAUGGGAUUGCAGGGUUGAAUGGUACUUUCAUUUUAACUACUUUCCAUAAUGGCUGAACUAACUUACAUUCCAACCAGGAGUGUAUAAGACUUCAUUUAUCUCUGCAACCUUACCUUACCGGCAUCUGUUAUUUUUAUUUAUUUAUUUAUUUUUUUGAGACGGAGUCUUGCUCUGUCUCCCAGGCUGGAUUGCAGUGGCACUAUCUUGGCUCACUGCAACCUCCACUCCCAGGUUCAAGCAAUUCUCCUGCCUCAGCCUCCCAAGUAGCUGUGAUUACAGGUGCCUGCCACCAUGCCUGGCUAAUUUUUUGUAUUUUUAGUAGAGAUGGGGUUUCACUAUGUUGGCCAGGGUGGUCUCAAACUCCUGACCUUGUGAUCCACCUGCCUUGGCCUCCCAAAGUGCAGGGAUUACAGGCAAGAGCCACCACACUUGGCCAGCAUCUAUUAUUUAUAGACACUUUAAUAAUAGCCAUUCUGACUGCUGUGAGAUGGUAUCUCACUAUGGUUUUGAUUUGCAUUUCUCUAAUGAUUAGUGAUGUUGGAAUUUUUUCAUAUGCUUGUUGGCCAUGUGUAUGUCUUCUUUUGGGAAUUUUCUGUUCAUGUUAUUUGCCCACUUUUUAAUGGCAUUGUUUGGUUUUUGCUUGUUAAUUUAUUUAAGUUUCUUAUAGAUUCUGGAUAUUAGACCUUUAUGGGAUGCAUAGUCUGCAAUAUUAUCUCCUAUACUUCAGAUUGUCUAGUUAAUCUGUUGAUAGUUUCUGUUGCUGUGCAGAAGCUCUUUAGUUUAAUUAGAUCCUAUUUCUGAAUUUUUGUUUCUGUUGCAAUCACUUUUGGCAUUUUUCAACAUGAAAUCUUUGCCAGAAUGCCUAUGUUCAGAAUGGCAUUUCCUAGGUUAUCUUUCAUGAUUUUCAUAGUUAGAGUUUUUACAUUUAAGUCUUUAAUCCAUCUUGAGUUGAUUUUUAUAUAUGAUGUAGGGAAAGGGUCUAGUUUCAAUCUUAUGCAUAUGGCUAGCCAGUAAUGCCAGCGCCAUUUAUUUAGUAUGCAGUCCUUUGCCUAUUGAUUGUUUUUCUCAGCUUUGUUGAAGAUCAGAUGGUUGUAAUUGUGCAAGUAUAUUCCUAGGCUCUUUACUGUGUUCCACCGGUCUAUGUGUCUGUUUUUGUACCAGAACCAUGCUGUUUUGGUUACUGUAGCUUUGCAGUAUAGCUUGAAGUCAGAUAGUGUGAUGUCUUUGGCUUUGUUCUUUUUGCUUAGGAUUGCUUUGACUAUUCUUGCUUUUUUUUUUUUUUUGAGGGGGAUUUCCAUAUAAAUGUUAAAUUUUUUUUCUAAUUCUGUGAAGAAUGACAUUGGUGGUUUGAUAGAGAAUUGAAUCUGUAAAUUGCCAUGUGUAGUAUAGCCAUUUUAACAUUGAGUCUUCCUAUCCACGAGCAUGGAAUGUUCUUCCAUUUGUUUGUGUCAUCUCUGAUUUCUUUGAGCAACUUUUUAUCAUUCUCAUUGUAGAGAUCUUUACCUUCCUAGUUAGCUGUACGCCUAGGUAUUUCUGUUUUGUUCCUGUUGUGAAUGAAAUCACCUUCUUGAAUUGGCUCUCAGCUUAGACAUUGUUGAUAUAUAGAAAAGCUACUAAUUUUUGUACAUUGAUUUUGUAUCCUGAUACUUUGCUGAAGUUGUUUACCAGAUCCAGGAGCUUUUGAGUAUAGACUCUGGGAUUUUCUACAUAAAAAUCAUAUUGUCUGCAAACAGAGAUAGUUUGUCUUUCCCUCUUUUUAUUUGGAUGCCUUUAAUUUUUUUCUCUUGCCUGAUGACUCUGGCUAGCACUUCCAGCACUAUGUUGAAUGGCAGUGGUGAGAGAGGGAAUCUUUGUCUUGUUCUGGUCCUCAAAAGUAAUGCUUCUGGCUUUUGCCAAUUUAUUAUGACAUUGGCUGUGGGUUUUUCAUAGAUGGUUCUUAUUAUGUUCAGGUUUGUUCCUUUAACACCUAGUUUCUUGAGGGAUUUUUAACAUGAAGAAAUAUUAAAUCUUAUUGAAAGCCUUUCCUGCAUCUAUUGAGAUGAUCAUGUGGUUCUUGUUUUUAGUUUUGUUUAUGUGAUGAAUCACAUUUAUUGGUUUGUGUAUAUUGAACCAACCUUGCAUCCCAGGGAUAAAGCCUACUUGGUGGUAGAUUAGUUUUUUGAUAUGCUGCUGAAUUUGGUUUAAUAGUAUUUUUUUGAGUAUUUUUGCAUCUAUGUUUAUCAAGGAUAUUUGUCUGAAGUUUGCUUUUUGUGUUGUGUUUCUGGCAGGUUUUGGUAUCAGAAUGACACUAGUCUCAUAGAGUGAGUUAGGUAGGAGUCCCUCCUCAACAAUUUUUUGGAAUAGUUUCAGUAGAAAUGGUACUAGCUCUUCUUUACAUAUCUGGUAGAAUUCAGCUGUGAAUCUGUAUUGUCCUGGGUUUUUUUCUGUUUGUUAGGGUUUUAUUAUUGAUUAAAUUUCAAACUCAUUGUUGGUCUGUUCAGGGAUUCAAUUUGUUCCUGGUUCAAUCUUUGGAAGUUGUAUGUUUCCAGGGAUUUAUCCAAUUUUUUUCUGGGUUUUCUAGCUUGUGUGCAUAGAGGUGUUCAUGCUAGUCUCUGAGGGUUUUUUGUAUUUCUGUGGAGUUGGUGAUAAUGACUUCUUUGACAUUUCUCAUAGUGUUUAUUUGCAUCUUCUUUUUUUUUCUUUAUAAGUCUAGUUAGUGGUCUAUGAGUCUAAUUUAUUCUUUCAAAUAACAAAGUCCUUGAUAUGGUUUGGCUCUGUGUACUCACCCAAAUCUCACCUUGAAUUGUAAUAAUCCCCAUGUGUUGUGAGAAGGAACUGGUGGGAGGUAACUGAAUUAUGGGGGCAGUUUCCCCCAUACUGUUCUCGUAUGUGAGUGAGUCCUCAUGAGAUCUGACGGUUUUAUAAGCAUCUUGCCUUUCCCCUGCUAGCAUUCAUUGUUUCUCCUGCCACCCUUUAAAGAGGUACCUUCCACCAUGAUUGUAAGUUUCAUGAGGGCUCCCAAGCCAUGUGGAACUGUGAGUCAAUUGAACUUCUUUUCUUUAUAAAUUAUCCAGUCUUGGGUAUUUAUUUAUAACAGCAUGAGAACAAACUAAUACAGUCCUUAAUUUAUUGAUCUUUUGUAUAUUUUUCUUUUCAUCUCAUCUUUCACUUCAGCUAUGAUUUGGAUUAUUUCUUUCUUUCUUUUUUGUUUUUGCUAGUUUUUGGGUUAAUUUAUUCUUGUUUCUCUAGUCCCUCUAGAUGCUAAGUUGUUGAUUUGAAAUCUCUUUAAGUUUUUGAUGUGGGCCUUUAGCACUACAAAUUUCCCUCUUAACAAUUGUUUAAAUGUGUCUUAGAGAUUUUCCUAUGUUGUAUCUUUGUUCUCAUUAAUUCCAAAGAAUUUCUUGAUUUUUCCCUUAAUCUCAUUGUUUACCUAAAAGUCAUUCCAAGACAGCUUGUUUAAUUUUAAUAUAGUUUUAUGGCUUUAUGUUAUUUUCUCAGUAUUUUUUUGUAUUUUUAUUGCACUGUUGUCUGAGAGUGUGGUUGGUAUGAUUGCAGUUUUUUAUUUGCUAAGAAUUGUUUUAUGGCCAACCAUGAUGUUGAUUUUAGAGUAUGUAUCACUUGUAGAUGAGAAGAAUGCAUAUUAUGUUGUCGUUGGGUGGAGUGUUCUGUAGAUGGUAUUAGGUCUAUUUGAUCAAGUGUUAAGUUCAGAUCCUGAAUGUUUUUGUUAGAUUUCUGCCUGAAUGAUUUGCCCAAUACUGUCAGUGGGGUGCUGAGGUCUCACAGCAUUAUUGUGUGGUUAUCUGGGUCUCUUUGGAUCUAGGUCUUUGGAUCUCGGUCUCUAAGAACUUGUUUCAUGAAUAUGGGUGCUGCUUUGUUGAGGGCAUAUAUAUUUAAGGUAGUUAGGUCUUGUGGAGUUGAACACUUUACCAUUAUUUAAUGUCCUUCUUUGUCUUUUUUUGAUUGUUGUUUUUUUAAAGUCUGUUUUUCUUUUCUGAAAUUAGAAUAACAACCCCUGCUUUUUUUCUGUUUUCCCUUUGCUUAGUAGAUUUUUCUCUAUCCCUUUACUUUGAGCCUAUUGCUGGCAAUGCAUGUGAUAUUGAUCUCCUGAAAACAGCAUACAGUUGAGUAUCGUUUCUUUAACUUACUUUAACUGUGGCUUUUAAGUGGAGAGAUUAUCCCCUUUAUGUUUAUGGCUAAUAUUGAUAUGUGCAAAUUUGAUCCUGUCAUUGUGUUGUUAGCUGGUUGUCAAGUAGACUUGAUUAUGUAGUUGCUUUAUAGCGUCAAUGGUAUAUGUACUUAACUGUUUCCUUGUGGUGGCCCGUAGUGGUCUUUCAUUGUCAUGUUUAGCACCCCCUUAAGAAUCUCUUGAAAGAUAAAUCUGGUGAUAACACAUUCCCUUAGCAUUUGCAUGUGUGAAAAAGAUUUUAUUUCUCAUUUUCUUAUGAAGUUAGUUUGGCUGAAUAUGAAUUUCUUGGUUGGAAAUUCUUUUCUUUUAGGGUGUUGUAUAUAGGCCACCAAUCUCUUCUGGCUUGUAGAAUUUCUGCUGAAUUGUCCACUGUUAGCCUAAUAAGGUUUCCUUUGUAGGUGACCUACCCUUUCUCUGUAGCAGCAUUUAACAUUUUUUCUUUCAUUUUGACCUUAGGGAAUCUGAAGAUUAUGUGUCUUUGGGAUGGUCAUCUUUUAUAAUAUUUUGCAGGGCUUCUCCACAUUUCCUGAAUUUGAAUGUUGGCCUGUCUAGCAAGGUUGGGGAAAUUUUCAUGGAUGAUAUCCUCAAAUAUGCUUUCCAGGCUGCUUGUUUUCUCUUCCUCUCUUUCAGGAUGAUAAAGAUGAUGCCAAUAAGUCAUAAAUUUAGUCUCUACAUAAUUCCAUAUCUCUCAGAGUGUUCAUGUAAUCUGCUUUUUCUUUUUUCUUUGUUUUUGUCUGAUUGAGUAAUUUCCUGUCUUCAAGCACUUAGAUUUUUUCCUCAGCUUUGUUUAUUCUACUGUUAUACAUGUGAUUGUAUUAAAAAUUCUUGAACUGAGAUUUUCAUCUCUAUCAGAUUAGUUUGGUUGGUUCUUUCUUAAAAUGAUCCUUAUGUCUUUCAGUUCCUGUAUUAUUUUCUUGUGUUCUUUAGAAUCCCUGAAUUGGGUUUCAACUUUCUCUGAAUCUCAAUGAUCUUUAUUCCUAUCUAUUCUGAAUUUUAUUUCUGUCAUUUCACCCAUUUCAGCCUGAUUAAAAACAAUUGCUGGGGAGCUAAUGUAGUUCCUUGGAGAUAAUAAUACACUCUGGUCUUUGAGUUGCCAGAGUUCUUGUAUUGAUUUUUUAUCAUAUGUGUGGGCUGAUGUUCCUUCGGUCUUUGAAGUUGUCGUCCUUUGGAUGGGUGUUUUUUGUUUGUUUGUUUUUUCUGGUUUGUUUUGUUUGCUUUUUUUUCUUUGAUGGACUUGGGGGUUUGAUUGUGGUAUACCAUGGGUUAAGUCAACUGGCUUAAUUUCUGGAAGAUUUUGGGAGGCCAAGUCUCAGCUCAGCACUCCUGGGUUGUGUGCUCUAACUCUGCAGACUGGUAUUGAGCCCCCAGCUUUGUUUUCUGAUCCCUUGAGGUUAGAAACCUGCUGUACUGGAGGUGCUAAGUUGUUCUCAGUCUGCUGGCCACAAAACUCCAAUGCAUGGUGCUGUGCAAAGUGAUUUUUCAGGGUGGUGGCUGUGGGAUUUAUGCUCACUCACACAUGCCAGUAGCCACAGCAGUGCAGACAUGUCAGCUGGGGUGGGGUAUCCGCAGGAGCAGGGCUACAUGUGUUUGCUUCACUGGUGGUGGUUGUGGCAUAGGAGGGAUCCCCAUGUCAUUCUUGAUUCUGGCUUUGCAAGUUUGGAAAAAGGGUAUUUUUAAUUUUCUUUGAUUCUUCAAAUAUUGUAGCAUAUAUACAAUUAGAGUUAUCAGAGUUUUAACAUGUAAAAGAUACAUGCUGUUUAUGUUCAGAAGACAGAGAGGCUGGCAUUUAUCCUAGGACUAAAAUAAGAAAGUUGGAAGGGACCAUAGGGAUCUCCUGGCCUUGGAACUGACCUCUGAUUGUUCUGAGCUCAUACUGUCUUUGAAACCUAAACAUAUUCUUCUUCUGAACAUUUUAAGAGUUAGAGAGUUUUGAUUUUUGUCUACAAAAUAAACAUUGGGUUAGUCAUACUUGGAAAUUAUAGCUCAAACUUUAGGACUUAGACCAGGUUUAGUGGAAUUUGCAUUAUUGCAUAAUUGGCCAAAAUAUUUUGCUUGGGUGAAUACAUGUCUGAAUGAAUAAUAAUGGCAUCAAUGGAAAUGUGGAAUCAGUUAACAUUUUUUUUUUUUUUUUUUUUUUUUGCUUUUCAGGUAACUUUUCAGACAUGAAUUGGAAUAAGAUAAGGCCAACUUGCUCAACUACAUUCCUUACUAAAACAUAAUAACUAAAAGCUACAGUGUGCAUUUCAUGUUUCACAUGUUCUGUUGCAGUGCCAAGACUAGGUUUAAGCAAUUCAGCUGCACAGUUACCAACCACUUCUUCUUGGAAGAUUUACCUACAAUCUAACUGAUAUACUUAACAAAAUUAUAUUUUUAAUAUUGAUUGUACAAUUUUUUACUCCUUAAUUGUAUCUGACAGCUUCUUAUACUUUAAACUUGAUCAACAGUAAAUUGUGAAGAGAGUAACUAUACACCACAUGGCUUGACAAUAUCCAAACAUCAUUCUUGUUCUACAAAAGUUACAAAUGGUGAGUUGCAAACCAAUGUCUUAAUAACAUUUUAUUUUAAAACAUGUGUGUUUACCUUCAUGUGUUUCAAGAAAGUAGCAUGAUCUUGAAGAAUGAAUAAUGAUUUUGGAGCAGGUGCACUAGAGUUUGUCCUGUGCCUACUAGCUCUGUAACUUAGACAAUAUGCUUAAUCUCUCUGAAUAUCAUUUUCCUUAUUAUGAAAAGGUAUAUUUAAGAAUAUCAACCUUUAAGAAAUGCUGUUAAGUUUUAAUUAAAUUGAUAUAAAAGAGGCAGUAUAGAACAUGGUGAAACUAGCCCUUCAGUAGAUGUUACUUUUCUCUCACAUAUUUUUUAUUUACUAGAAACAUAAACAUUUCAAGUAUAUUCUAAGUCAUUGACUUUAAAAUUGACUGUGUAAUGCCAACAAGCCUUCAAAGUAUGCCUAAAACUUAUUUCUCUAACCCCUAUUUCUAACAAAGCCUGCAAAAUUACAAUAUAGUAUACUUUAAAUCCGUGAUCAACUCUAUUUGAGCAUGAUUAAUGUCACAUAUUAUUCAAUUUCCUGAAAAUAUGACACCCUGUAUAAUUUAUACUAUAACCUUCCCUACAUAAGGCUCUCAAUUUCAUAAUAGGGACUAGCAUAGAUGAGAAUAUUUGUUUUCUGAAGCAAACAAAGCUUGCUUUUCUAUGUGAGCUAAAGUUUCUCCUUUCUGAUUGAGAACAGGGAACACAUGUUAUAGUUACCAGUAGAACCGGUAUAGUUCGACAGAUUUUACAUAUGGCUAAAAUUACUUAUGCUAAAUAGCUGAAAUAAAUACAAAAUGCCCCAGGAAGGGAAUGUGAAGAUUAAAUACCAUCAAGGAUUAGAAAGAUCACUACAAAUCUUAGCCUUAGUUAGGUAGACGCAAAGUAGGGUUCCUAGAGGGCAUAGAGUACUAACUGAAAUGAAUAACAUCAUGCCAUUCUGUAACCUGAAGAGAACUAAAAAUCAAACCCCAAUAAAAUUCUAUGUGGGUAAGUCUCCCUAUUGUCUCUAGGGCCAAAUAAUUCAAAGAUAAUUAUGUUGUACCUGUGCCAAUAAUAAGGAGAGCAAAGAGUUAAGACUUGGGACCCUAGAGAAGUAAAUCACUUAGCAGAAUGUCAAAUUAGGAAGUUAUAGGGUAGUGAUGCUAUGGAGAGACAGUUGUAACAUACCACAAUGAAAUGGAGCAGCCAAAAGCAUUUUAACAGACUUUUCCAACUUUCACAUAUAUUAUCACAUUGAAUGUUCACUAUAAUUCUGCAAAGAUGGCAUAGAAGCUAGAAAGAUUUAAUGACUUCUCCAAGGUCCUACAUCUAGGAUCUCUGACUACAUAACCCAUACUCUUUUCACAAGUAUUACAUCUCUUCUGAUGAAUAAACAUGAAGUUCUGGGGUUAAUUAUUUAAGGUGAAAGGAGUCAAGAUGCUUAGAGAGCAGACUUAUAGAGUGAGGAAAUUAUAGAUACAGGCCAAUGCUGUGUGUCCCAAACAAAGCAGACAAAAUUUCAGGGAAAUUAUUUAACUAGAGUUGAGAACAUGACUAGUCUGAGAAAAAGUAGUUGGGCAGAAUUGGUUAGCUGUCACUAAUAUGCAUUCUCCCCUUGUUUAUUUAAUAAUAGAACUUUCACCUUUUAGCUGAGCAUAAGACUGAAAACUGCAUUUCCUAGUAUCCCCUCUAGUCUGGUAUAGCAUGACUAAGUUCUAACAAUGGGUGUUGAGCAAAGGUAAUGUGUGAGACUUCUCAGUUAUGCCACUAAAAAGAGGAUCAAGCCCUUUCUUUCCUUCCUCCUCACCUAGCUAUCUAAUAUGUUAACAUGAUGGCAGUAGCUGGAGCAGACAUAUAAGAUAUGAGCACUAUAUAGCACUUUAAUGUUGACAAUGGCAGAUUAAGAAGAUAGAAGGAACCUAGGUCUCUGAACACCAUGUAGUCAACAUUGACUCAGGGCUACUUUCUUUAGACUGUUAUUUGAGAAAUACAUUUUUAUAUUUUUUAAACCACUGUUACUUUGGUCCUUAUUGCAGAAGAAAAAUCCAUAUCCUCAUUUUAGAAGUUUUGACCUGAUAUUAAGAGAAAUGUAGUCACAGAGGGAAAAUAAUUUACAUUUUUUCCGGGAUCUAGGGAAUAAAUAUGAGUAUGUGUCACAUUGGAAUGAAGACUAAAGUAGCAGAAUGACAUAAAGGAAGGUUAGAAAUAAAAAGAGGGGAAUAUAAAAGCAGUAGCUGAUCUAAUGUGGAAACAGAAUCGAGAGCAACAGAAAACUAGAGGCAGCAAGAGACCUGUGUCUCAAAGGCUGCCCUCAACAUAUUUGGUAUUUAAUCACAUGGUAUAACCAGUAACUAUAAGUGAGUUUGUUUCCUUAACAGAAUAUUCCUGUGCAGUUUAGUUAAUUAACUUCCAAGGAUAAUAAGAAAGUUUCAAUUCAAGUAUCCAAUUCCAUUGAGAAAUAAUGGUUGCACAGGUUUUAUGUUAAGAAUAAUUCUGAGGCCACACCUGGGCGUAGAAGUGGAGAGUGGUAGAAAAUAUGUUACGUAUUUGGCAUCUUUCAGUUAUAGUCCAUACGGACAACAGCAUCGUGAUGGAGAAGGGGAAUGAAACUAGGAAAUAACAUUUUUGAAGUUAUCAUUAGAUAAGUUAUCCUGAGAGUUAUGGUGAAUAUGAUUUCUAGAAUGGUUCUACUGCUGAAUAGAGUCAGAAAGCAAUAGAAGAACAUAAAUGAAUGAGAUUCAAAAUGUAUCUAUAGAGCCAAAGGUAGGGGCAAUAAUCAGAGUUAGAAGAGACAGUUGGGGAUGAAGUGGUUCUGAACAUUGCAUGCCUCUCAUUAACAUAUUCUUGACCUUUAAUUUAUGCUUGAAUGUUGCAUUCUAGGCAGCUUUCCAAAAGUAUUUUUCAUGAGAGAACAAUUUCUGGAUAAAAGCUUUCGUGAAACAAUUUAACUUGCCCAACUUUUUUUUCUCUUAAGGCAAUAUUAAGAGGUUAAUAACGUUAACUGUAGUAGUGGAUAACUUCCUGAUUUUUAUAAGGUUUCCAAUACUUUUUAAGCAGUUAUUUAAGUUGCAAAUUCUUAGACUUCUGCCAAAGAAGACUUACCAUUUUCUGCUAUAAGAGGCAGCAACGGUAUUUUUUAAAAAAUGCUUUCAUAUACUUGUAUCAUUAUUUUGAACCUGGAAUAAUCUUAUUCUAAAUGAACUUAUACUUUUUUACCUAAAGAAAAACAAUGAAAAAUUGUUUUAAUUUUAAAAAGAAAAAUGAUUUAUAAAAUAUAAAGGAUGCAUGCAAAUAAGCCUUGAAGGGAAUAUCUUCCAAUAUUAAUAGUGAUUUUUUUUGAAAAUAAAACUAUGGGUGUUUUAUUCUUCUUCCAACUUUUUGUUUUUGUAAUUAUCUUGUAUGAGUAUGUAUUACUUUAAAUUGAAGAACCAUCAUAAUACUUUAAUGUAAAAGAAAAUAAAAUAGUCCUAUAAUGCUAAUAGUACUUUGAAAAGAACUCUGGGAAAAAUCAGAUAUGUAGCAAUCUAGACUACUGGAAAAUCCUAAGAAAUGGCUAAGCACUUGCUAUAUGGUUGUUCUAUUAGUCCGUUCUCAUUAUGCUAAUAAAGACAUGUCCCAGACUGGAUAAUUUAUAAAGAAAAGAGAUUUGGGGUGGGACCAAGAGGGCUGACUAGAAGCAGUGGUGAUUGGAGGCACCCAUCGAAAAGAAUCAUAAUAGCAUGUGAAUCCUGCACUGGCAAGCGAGGUAUCCAGGUUCUUUCAUCAGAACUGAUUAGGUGGCUGGUGUGACCCAUGGAGAGGAAGAAAGAGCAGUGUGGUGCAGUGGCCUACCUGAGAGCCACACAGGGCAGGGGAGCCCCCACCCCCCAGCCAAGGGAGGUGGUGAGUGAGCAUGCUAUCCAGCUGGGAAAACCAUACUUUUUCCACUGAACUGUGCAAACCACAGAUCAGAAGAUGUCACUGGGUGAACCCAUGCCACUGGGGCUUAGGGUUCCAACCCCAGAGCUGUGCAGAUUCUCAACAGCCUCUCAGCUAGGAUCUGCUUAAGCCUGCCAUAUUCCUGGGAAGAGGGGUGGUCAGCACCACAGCUAUGGCUGCCUGCUGUCUCAGCUUUUCGAGUUCCUUGGGAAAGAGGCAACAGCCAGCACUGGGACUGAUAGCUGCCUAACACGCUAAGCUCCCUGGGCGAGGGAAGGGUGGUAGCCAUCUCUGUAGCUUUUCCACUGCUGGAGCCAGGGAGGCUGGAUGGCUUGGUCCCAAAAGGUGUCCCCCACAGUCCAACACCCCAGUUGUGGUAGACUGUGGCCAAAGCACCUCUUCAGGCCUGACCCUGACCCAUCCUUCCUCACUUGAUGGGGCCUCCCUGCAGGAACUCCAACAACUUCAGCCAGGGGCUCAGGGACAGAACUCUGAUCUCCCUGGGCCUGAGCCCCUAGGGGGAGUGGUGGCUGCAAUCACUGUGGACCGGCAGACUUAGCCUUUCCUCCUAGUAGUUCUGAGGAAUCCAGGCAGCCCAGACGAGUGGGUUUCCCCUCAGUGAAGCACACCUCCUGGACCAAGGUACAGUCAAAGUGCUUCAUUCCCUGUGCCGCCCAACUGGGUGAGACCCUUUAACAGGGGUUGUCAGACACCCUAUACAGGAACGAUCUUACUGGCAUCAGGUUGGUCCCCCUUGAGGUUAGAGAUCUCAGAGGAAGGAACAAGUAACCAUCUUUGCUGUUCUCCAGGCUCCUAAGUGACAUCUCCAGGUGCAGGGGCAAACCAGAUGAAUAGGGCCUGAAGUGAACCCCCAGCAAACCACAGCAGCCCUACAACCCUGCAGAAGAGGGACCUGACCAUUGAAAGAAAACCAAACAAACAGAAAGCAACAACAGCAUCAACAAUAAAAAAAAAAGUUUCCACAAAAACCCCACCCAAGGGUCAGCAUCCUCAAAGAUCAAAAGUAGACAAACUCAUGAAAAUGAGAAAGAGUCAAAGAAAAACACUGAAAACCCAAAAGCCCAGAGUGCCUCUUCUCCAAAUGUUUGCAACACGCUCCAGCAAGGGUACAGAAAUGGACUGAGGAUGAGAUGGAGAAACUGAUGGAAGUAGGCUUCAGAAGAUGGGUAAUAACAAACUCCGCUGAGCUAAAGAAGCAUGUUCUAAUCCAAUGCAAAGAAGCUAAACACCUUGAUAAAAGGUUAGAGGAGCUGCUAACUAGAAUAACCAGUUUAGAGAGGAACAUAAAUGACCUGAUGGAGCUAAAAAACACAGCAUGAGAACUUUGUGAAGCAUACACAAGUAUCAAUAGCCGAACUGACCAAGUGGAAGAAAGGAUAUCAGAGUUUGAAGACCACAUUGCUGAAAUAAGGCAUGCAGACAAGAUUAGAGAGAAAAGAAUGAAAAGGAAUGAACAAAGAGUUCGAGAAAUGUGGGACUAUGUAAAAAGACCGAACCUAUGAUUGAUUGGAGUACCUGAAGGAGACGGGGCAAUGUAAACAAGCUGGAAAACACACUUUAGGGUAUUAUUCAGGAGAACUUCUCCAACCUAGCAAGAAAAGCCAACAUUCAAAUUCAGGAAAUACAGAAAACACCACUGAGAUACUCCACAAGAAGAUCAACCCCAAAACACGUAAUCGUCAGAUUCUCCAUGGACAAAAUGAAGGAAAAAAUGUUAAGGGCAGCCAGAGAGAAAGGCCAGGUCACCUACAAGGGGAAGCUCAUCAGACUAACAGUGGACUUCUCAGAAAUCCUAGAAGCCAGAAGAGAUUGGGGGCCUAUAUUCAACAUUCUUAAAGAAAAGAAUUUUCAACGCAGAAUUUUAUAUCCAGCCAAACUAAGCCUCAUAAGCAAAGGAGAAAUAAAAUCCUUUCCAGACAAGCAAAGGCUGAGAGAUUUUGUCACCACUAGGCCUGCCUUGCAAGAGCUCCUGAAAGAAGCACUAAAUAUGGAAAGGAAAAUCUGGUACCAGCCACUGCAAAAACACACCAAAAUAUAAAGACCAAGGACACUAUGAAGAAACUGCAUUAACUAGUGUGCAAAAUAACUAGAUAGCAUCAUGAUCACAGGACCAAAUUCACACAUAACAAUACUAAUCUUAAAUGUAAAUAGGCUAAAUGCCCCCAGUUGAAAGACACAGACUGGCAAAUUGGAUAAAGAGUCAAGACCCAUCCAUGUGCUGUAUUCAGGAGACACAUCUCACAUGCAGAUGCAUACAGGCUCAAAAUAAAGGGAUGGAGGAAAGUUUAAAAAAAAAAAAGCAGAGGUUGCAAUCCUAGUCUGACAAAAGAGACUUCACACCAACAAAGAUCAAAAAAGACAAAGAAGGACAUUACAUAAUGGUAAAGAGAUCAAUUCAUCAAGAAGAGCAAUUGGGUGCAUAUAUCUAUAUAUGCAUGCAAUACAGGAGCACCAAGAUUCAUAAAACAAGUUCUUAGAGACCUACAGAAGACUUAUCCUUCCACACAAUAAUAGUGGGAGACUUUAACACCCCACUGUCAAUAUUAGACAGAUCAACAAGACAGAAAAUUAACAAGAAUAUUCAGAACUUGAACUCAGCUCUGAAUCAAGUGGACCUAAUAGACAUCUACAGAACUCUCCACCCCAAAUCAACAGAAUAUACAUUCUUCUUAGUGCCACAUGGCACUUAUUCUAAAAUUGCCCACAUAAUUGGAAGUAAAACACUCCUCAGCAAAUCCAAAAGAACUGAAAUCAUAACAGUCUCUCAGACCACAGUGCAAACAAUUUAGAACUCAGGAUUAAGAAACUCACUCAAAAUCACACAAUUACAUGGAAAUGGAACAACCUGCUCCUGAAUGACUCCUGGGUAAAUAAUGAAAUUAAGGCAGAAGUUUCUUUGAAACCAAGGAGAACAAAGAGACAACAUACCAGAAUCUCUGGGACACAGUUAAACAGUGUUAAGAGAGAAAUUUAUGGCACUAACUGCCUGCAUCAGAAAUCUAGAAAGAUCUCAAAUUAACCCCCUAACAUCACAACUAAAGGAGCUAGAGAGGCAAGAACAAACUAAUCCAAAAGCUAGCAGAAAACAUGAAAUAACUAAGAUCAGAGCAGAAUUGAAGGAGAUACAGACACAAAAAGCCUUCCAAAAAAAAUCAGUGAAUCCAGGAGCUGGCUUUUUGGAAAAAUUAAGAAAACAGAUAGACUGCUAGCUAGACUAAUAAACAAGGAAAGAGAGAAGAGUCAAAUAGACACAAUAAAAAAUGAUAAAGGGGAUAUCAUCACUGACCCCACAGAAAUACAAAGUACCAUCAGAGAAUACUAUAAACACCUCUAUGCAAAGAAACUAGAGACUGUAGAAGAAAUGCAUAGAUUUUCUGGACACAUAGACCCUCCCAAGACUAAACCAGGAAGAAACUGAAUCCUUGAGUAGACCAAUAGCAAUUUCUGAAAUUCAGGCAGUAAUUGCUAGCCUACUAACCCAAAAAAGCUCAGGACCAUGAUUCACAGCUGAAUCCUAUCAAGGUACAAAGAGGAACCAGUACCAUUCCUUCUGAAACUAUUUAAAACAGUUGAAAGGAGGGACUCCUCCCUAACUCAUUUUAUGAAGCCAGCAUCAUCCUGAUACCAAAACCUGGCAGAGACAUAACAAAAAAAGAAAACUUCAGGCCAAUAUCCCUUAUGAACAUAAAUGCUAAAAUCCUCAAUAAACUACUGGCAAACUGAAUCCAGCAGUAUAUCAAAAAACAUAUCCACCAUGAUCAAGUCAGCUUCAUCCCUAGGAUGCAAGGCUGGUUCAACAUAUGCAAAUCAAUUAACGUCAUGCAUCACAUAAACAGAACCAAUGACAAAAACCACAUGAUUAUCUCAAUAGAUUCAGAAAAGGCCUUUGAUAAAAUUCAACAUCCUUUCAUGUUAAAUACGCUCAAUAAAGUAGGUAUUGAUAGAACAUAUCUCAAAAUAAUAAGAACUAUUUAUAACAAACCCACAGCCAGUAUCAUAUUGAAUUUGCAAAAGCUGGAAGAAUUCCCUUUGAAAACAGGUACAAUACAAGGAUGCCCACUCUCACCACUCCUAUUCAACAUAGUAUUGGAAGUUCUGGUCAGGGCAAUCAGGCAAGAGAAAGAAAUAAAGUGUAUUCAAAUGGGAAGAGAGGAAGUCAAAUUGUCUCUGUUUGCAGAUGACAAGAUUCUAUAUUUAUAAAACCCCAUCAUCUCAGCCCAAAAACUCCUUAUGCUGAUAAACAACUUCAGCAAAGUCUCAGGAUGCAAAGUCAAUGUAUAAAAAUCACAAGCAUUCCUAUAUACCAACAACAGACAAGCAGAGAGCCAAAUCAUGAAUGAACUCCCAUUCAUAAUUGCUACAAAGAGAAUAAAAUACCUAGGAAUACAGAUAGAAAGGGAUGUGAAGAACCUCUUCUAGAAGAACUACAAACCACUGCUCAAGGAAAUAAGAGAGGACACAAACAAAUGGAAAAACGUUCCAUACUCAUGAAUAGGAAGAAUCAAUAUUGAGAAAAUGGCCACAGUGCCCAAAGUAAUUUAUAGAUUCAAUGCUAUUCCCAUCAAACCAUCAUUGACGUUCUUCACAGAAUUAGAAAAAAAAAUAAUUUUAAUUUCAUAUGGAACCAAAAAGGAGCCUGUAUAGCCAACACAAUCAUAAGCAAAAAAAAAGCUGGAGGUAUCAUGCUACCUGACUUCAAACUAUACUACAAGGCUACAGUAACCAAAACUGCAUGGUACUUGUACAAAAACAGACAUAUAGACCAAUGGAACAAAACAGAGACCUCAGAAAUAACACCACACAACUACAACCAUCUGAUUUUUGACAAUCUGACAAAAACAAGCAAUGGGGAAAGAAUUUCCUAUUCAAUAAAUGGUGCUGGAAAAACUGGCUAGCCAUAGGCAGAAAACUGAAACCAGACCCCUUCCUUACACCUUAUACAAAAAAUAACACAAGAUGGAUUAAAGACUUAAAUGUAAAACCUCAAACCAUAAAAAUCCUAGAAGAAAACCUAGGCAAUACCAUUGAGAACAAAGGCAUGGGCAAAGACUUCAGGACAAAAAUGCCACAAGCAAGAGCAACAAAAGCCAAAAUUGAAAAUGGGAUCUAAUUAAACUGAAGAGCUUCUGCAUAGCAAAAGAAACUAUUAUAAGAGUGAACCGGUAUCCUACAGAAUGGGAGAAAAUUUUUGCAAUCUAUCCAUCUGACAAAGGUCUAAUAUCCAGAAUUUACAAGGAACUGAAACAAAUUUACAAGAAAAAAUAACCCCAUCAGAAAGUGGGUGAAGGAUAUGAACAGACACUUAUCAAAAGAAGACAUUUGUGCCACCAACAAACAUAUAAAAAAAAAUCUCGACAAAACUGAUUAUUAGAGAAACACAAAUCAAAACCACAAUGAGAUACCAUCUCAUGCCAGUCAGAAUGGCAAUUAUUGAAAAGUCAAGAAACAAUAGAUGCUGGCGAGGCUGUAGAGAAAUAGAAACGCUUUCACACUGUUGGUGGGAAUGUAAAUUAGUUCAACCAUUAUGGAAGACAGUGUGGCAAUUCCUCAAGGAUCUAGACCCAGAAAUACCUUUUAACCCAGCCAUCCUAUUACUGGGUAUAUACCCAAAGGAAUAUAAGUCAUUCUACUGUAAAGACACAUGCACACAUAUGUUUAUUGCAGCACUAUUUACAAUAGCAAAGACAUGGAACCAACCCAAAUGCCCAUCAAUGAUAGACUGGAUAAAGAAAAUGUGGUACAUAUACACCAUGAAAUAUUAUGCAGCCAUAAAAACAAAUGAGAUCAUUUCCUUUGCAGGGACAUGGAUGAAGCUGAAAGCCAUCAUCCUCAGCAAACUAACACAGGAACAGAAAACCAAACAUCACAUGUUCUUGCUCAUAAGGGAGAGUUGAACAACGAGAACACAUGGACACUGGCAGGGGAACAUCACAUACCAGGGCCUGUCAGGGGAUGGGGGGUGAGGGGAGGGAACAUAGAAGACUAGUAAAUACAUGCAGCAAACCACCAUGGCACACAUAUACCUAUGUGACCAGCCUGCACAUUCCACACGUGUUUCUGAGAACUUAAAGUAAAAUUUAAAAAAAGAAAAGAGGUUUAAUUGCCUCACAGUUUUGCAUGUCUUGGGAGGCCUCAGGAAACUUACGAUCAUGAGAGAAGCCAACCUGAUUCAGACUCUGGAAAUGUCUCUUGGUGGUCAGAAGAGAAUGUAGCCUAGUGAAAUGGAUUAGUGAAAUACACUGGGGUGGUUUUGAUAGACAGGAACCAAAGAUAUGAAGGACCUCAUAGACACAGGUUAAGAAGCUCUAAAAAUAUGAGUAAACCAGAUGGCUUUUAAAUUAAGGAGUUUCUUGGUCAGGUCACUGUGAAAAUCUCUCUGACAGUUCUGUGAAACAAUGAAUUGGAAACAAGAACCAAUCCAAGUAGGGGAAAAUAAGAACUUUAAGUAGGGCAGAAGAUAACAGAACUUGAACUCAAGCAGAUGGGAGUGGGAUAUACGUGUGAAUGUGAUUUCAGCAGUACAAUCAACAAAGCUUGGAAGAGUAAGGGGAAAGAAGUUGUGAGGAAAUAUAACCAGAAGACAAAAGGAGGAUGAUCUGAUGAUAAUAAACUGGGGUUGUAAUUUAGCAAGGCGUUUUGGUUGAGAUUAUUCUUAGCAUCUCUGUGUCAUUGGCUCUCCUCCUCUGAGAAUAGGCAGGACUCCUCUUGAAUGUGGAUUUUAUGACUUGCUUCAGGAGAGAAGGGCAAGGUGAAGGACAAAGUGACAUUCCCAGUUCUGCUGUUUUUUCAAAUGCCAGGUGCCAUAUUUUGGGGUUGCCUGUCCUGAAUACAAUCAGAAGUGUGAUAUGUUUGAGUGAGUGUGAGUACUGGGAUAAGAGAGUCUAAGACAGACUGGAUGAUCUAAGAUCAUGGUGGUAAGGGAAAACAAGAAGUAGAUUUGGGGAAAUACAAAAUAUUUGAAUAUACUGAUUUUGAAAUUGGCAGAAAAAAAUAUAUUACCAGUAUCCAGCAUAAUUGACACAAAGUGGGUACUACAUGUCCAGAUCAAACAAACAGAAUUUCU
Molecule: long non-coding RNA, 23473 nt
Filed under: Homo sapiens (human)
Lineage: Eukaryota; Metazoa; Chordata; Mammalia; Primates; Hominidae
Description: non-protein coding lnc-DIAPH2-16:6
Source: RNAcentral